UACGUAGGGGGCAAGCGUUGUCCGGAUUUAUUGGGCGUAAAGAGCGUGUAGGCGGCCAAGCAGGUCCGCUGUGAAAACUCGAGGCUCAACCUCGGGACGUCGGUGGAAACCAUUUGGCUAGAGUCCGGAAGAGGAGAGUGGAAUUCCUGGUGUAGCGGUGAAAUGCGCAGAUAUCAGGAAGAACACCAAUGGCGAAAGCAGCUCUCUGGGACGGUACUGACGCUGAGACGCGAAAGCGUGGGGAGCGAACAGG
RNAcentral lists this ribosomal RNA (253 nucleotides) under uncultured bacterium. Its description in RNAcentral is "partial 16S ribosomal RNA". It matches the Rfam family "Bacterial small subunit ribosomal RNA", at positions 524 to 776 of the family's 1533-position model. The record is from RNAcentral.